Molecule: ribosomal RNA, 510 nt
Filed under: uncultured bacterium
Lineage: Bacteria
Description: partial 16S ribosomal RNA
Rfam family: Bacterial small subunit ribosomal RNA
Source: RNAcentral
GACGAACGCUGGCGGCGUGCUUAACACAUGCAAGUCGAACGAAGAGCGAUGGAAGCUUGCUUCUAUCAAUCUUAGUGGCGAACGGGUGAGUAACGCGUAAUCAACCUGCCCUUCAGAGGGGGACAACAGUUGGAAACGACUGCUAAUACCGCAUACGAUCUAAUCUCGGCAUCGAGGAAAGAUGAAAGGUGGCCUCUAUUUAUAAGCUAUCACUGAAGGAGGGGAUUGCGUCUGAUUAGCUAGUUGGAGGGGUAACGGCCCACCAAGGCGAUGAUCAGUAGCCGGUCUGAGAGGAGGAACGGCCACAUUGGGACUGAGACACGGCCCAGACUCCUACGGGAGGCAGCAGUGGGGAAUCUUCCGCAAUGGACGAAAGUCUGACGGAGCAACGCCGCGUGAGUGAUGACGGCCUUCGGGUUGUAAAGCUCUGUUAAUCGGGACGAAAGGCCUUCUUGCGAACAGUUAGAAGGAUUGACGGUACCGGAAGAGAAAGCCACGGCUAACUACGUG